RNAcentral lists this long non-coding RNA (962 nucleotides) under Homo sapiens (human). Its description in RNAcentral is "non-protein coding lnc-SUCLA2-9:1". Lineage: Eukaryota; Metazoa; Chordata; Mammalia; Primates; Hominidae. The record is from RNAcentral.
UUUGUGAUUAGCCUGAAAGAAAUUAAAAUUCAUCUGAAUCAUAACUUCUCUUUAUAGAGCCAUUAUGAAUUUUACACGUAAUUCUUAUUUUCCUUUAUGAUCUUACUUGGAUUGUAUGAUAGGCAGCACAGCUGAUUGCUUUUGAGCAUUUUAAUGCGAGAGGGAAUCACCCCCCAUCUCGCGAGGCAAUGUACUGUAAAUAGCCAGGCAGUGUUCUUACGCGUGCAAGUCACAUAGUGGCUUGUAAAUGUUACAGCCUUUAUUUAAAGGUGAAAUGAUGAAAGCAAAGUGACCACUAAGGAUUUAAUAACUUGUAGGGAUCCAAUUUUCUGUUGCAUAACCUCCUUUUCCUUAGGAAACAUUUAGUAGUGUGCAAUUUGCAGUGGCAAAUCAGAUAGGAGGACAAAAAUUUUAAAACGGCACACGAGCUACGUAAAUAAAAAAGGAAACUGCACGUGGGAUUCUCUGUUCUACAGAAGGGUAAUAGGGGUCUGCUAAUGAGCAAAGGAGCUUACCAAGGAGUGAUCAGUCUUAUUCUACCUGGACUUAGGUAGCUGUAUGCAGACCAGUGAGAGAGAGCCAUCAAUUUCAUAGUAGUUAAUUCAGGAAAACUAAACCCUGAUGCACUGAAAGUUGGAGUAGAAAAAUAAAUGUAAUCAAAUCAGAAGGUAAAGGAAGAUAGGUCCUGUGAUAAGAAAUUAAACAUUGCUACAUAGUAUACAUUUUUAAAAUCUUAGUUAAAAUAACAGUCAUUUAAAAAAGAAUCACUUUGAACCUGGGAGGCAGAGGUUGCGUGAGCUGAGAUUGCCUCACUGCACUCCAGCCGGGGCGACAGAGCAAAACUCCAUCUAGAAAACAAACAAACAACAGAAAGGUUAUUGGAAUAGGGGUCACAUAUUUAAGGCAAACCUGUAAAUGUUUACUCCACGUCUAAGAUAUUUUCACAUAUUACAACAUAUGUU